GAUUUUCCAAAAAAUUAAGGUGUUCAAAUCAGAAACAGUUGGUAACUGAUUAGAUGUGUGGAUCAAGACAGAGAAGGAUCGGAGGUUGAAACUAUUAAAAGCUGAAUGUACCUAUCCUGGAUUUGAAAGUCAUGAUACCACGAAUGUUGUCAACUCAUUAAUCACAUUUGUAUUUUUCCAUUCCUUGAAAAUCUUCCCCAGAAUUAUUAAAAUGAAGCUAUUGUGUUUGAUUACUGUCGCAUUCAACAGGUUUUCAUUAAUAAAUCAUACAAAAAUUUUGCCUUGCCAUUUUGGAUUUUACACUCUGAAGUUUCUGAGCUGCUUUUCUUUUCCCCUGUAGGUUAAUGGCACAGAUGCAGAUUAUGAAUAUGAAGAAAUCACACUUGAAAGGGUAAAAACUAUUAUCUUAAUCUGUUGUUCUAGAGAACUUUGUAAUAUACUGCUUUUUCAUACAGAAUCCAAGGGAGAUCUCUCAAAAACAGAACUAUAUGAUAUUUUCUAAGUUCCCAGUUCAUAAAAUUGGCCAAGGUAUUUUCAAAACAUUUGCCUUUUCUUUAGUAACCUUAUUUUUUUAAUAAACUUUUUAUUUUACAAUAGUUUUAGAUUUACAAAGAAGUUGUAAAAACAUGGCAAAACUCCGUCUCUACUAAAAAUACAAAAAUUAGCCAGGUGUGGUAACGCAGACCUGUAAUCCCAGCUACUCGAAUCAGGAGAUUCAGUUUUUAUUGUAUGUUAUAAUAGUAAUGCCACCUUAUCUGGCUAGCAUUUUAUGGAAAUCUAGUGUUUCACACAAGCAGAUUUCUUAAGUAACUAAAUGUGUGUAUACUCAAGACUGAAAUCCUAGAUAAUUAGAUUUAUUUAUAUUGGAAUAGAAUCUGAGAAAAAUAAAUCUGAGAGAGUCUCUUACAUGUAUAUCUUUAUUGCCAUCUACUUAAAUUCGGAUCACUUGCUCAAGUUGGGUGGCUACUGGAGUAAUAUUCAAGUAAGCACAGUAUUAAUGUACUGUACAUACUUUAAUAUAGUAGUUUGUGAUGUCUCCUAACUUUUUAUAUUAUUGAUUUUUUAUCUUUUCCCAGGGCCUUUUAAAUUCCUUUUGUUUAGUUAGGACUAUACAUUGUAUUUUUCACUGGUUGAAGAACUUGAGUACCUAAGUAAUUUGGUAACCUCCCAUAAUCCACUGGUACUGUUCUUAAGAUUCAGGUAAUUCAUGAAGUUAGAUUGAAAAACAUUUUUUUAUUAAAAUAGAAUUUUAAGACAAAUGGUGGUAGAGUGGGUGUUUACACUGUUUAAUACUAACAGUUAAAUGAUAGGUCCACAUAUAUUUGCUUACUUGAGUUGCCUGAAAUUCAGUUAGAACAUUCUUCAAGAAAUAAACAUUUUUUAAUACCAUUGGUUAAAUCAAUUAUUUUUAAAGGCUUUUUGUAGCAGUCGAACCCUUUCUGUGAAGAACAUAUUCAGAAAUCUUGUUUCUCCAGUUCAUAAAACAAGCAAAAAGUAGAGCUGCUUUGGCAAAAUUUACUUUGCUGUCAAGAAAAUUCACCAAUGUUAAGUUCUCAGGUUGGUCUUUCAGUCAGUGUGAAACAAUGCCUUUUGCUAAUCGGGUAUAUUGGUUAAACAUGUCAGGGACUGAUGGCAGCUAUCACUUAGCAGCCACAAUUUGGUCAUUUAAAAA
RNAcentral lists this long non-coding RNA (1672 nucleotides) under Homo sapiens (human). RNAcentral describes it as "non-protein coding lnc-MELTF-3:1". Lineage: Eukaryota; Metazoa; Chordata; Mammalia; Primates; Hominidae. The record is from RNAcentral.